GAGAGCCUGCGGUAGUAUUACACAGGGUGUCACUCAGGCGCAGAUAAUGAAAAAUAUUUUCUUUUUUUCCUUUUUUUUUUUUUUUUUUUUUGCUCUGGGAGUGACUGUUAUGGUGUAAUGUAAAUGUAUGGCUUGGCUAGCACAUGGAAGGAAUUAAUGACGACAUCCCAAAUAUCAUACUUUGGAAACCAACUUAUCCAUACACAAUGACUCUGUUAGCUGGCUUCUAUGAAGAAUACUUCUGAGAAGCUUGAUGAUAACGGCACUCGACUGGGCAGUGAAGCACGGCAAUCUUGAGAUGGCAGAGAUGGUCGCCAAAGCAGGCGUCGAUGUCAAUGCUAAAUCGGUAAGUGAUGACAGAUGUUUCAUUGGUUUCUUCUGUGUUGGUCUCUCUGGGCGGUAUUUAUGCAUGCACAACUUACAGUGCCACUGCUCGCUCUCUAUAUAUAUGCCUGAAGCUUUGUGAGAAUGGCAUUCUUAAAUGAAUGAGUGAUUCUCUUUCUGGGUAAGUUGCUCAUAGACGAAAUGAUCACACAUAGCAUUUAACCCCUUUUAAGUAUUCAUAAAAAAGCUGCCAAACAACAUAUUUAUUCAUAUAAACAAUAGCUAACCUUAUAAGCUUUAAAUUAGCAACAUUUAGCUACGUUCUCUAGGGGCCUUACUGUGCUUCCAGAUUCACUAUUAUUUUAGUCUUCUCUUUAACCUUUAUUGUACCCUGACAUCUCUUUGGAAAUCAGAUUUCACAGGUACUUGAGUAGGUGAAUUCCAGAGAUAAGAAAUUCUUGAAUUAACUUGUUUGUACACCUUAAACAGAUAAGUAUCUUAAUAUUCCCUCUACUGUGUGCAUUGAGUGGGAGUAUAAAAAAAUAUUUAGAGCGAAUAUUUUCCAAGCUGUAGUUUCCUGAUGUGCUCUCGUUAAGCAUCACCAUUCAUGUUACAAAAAAGCCUUACUGAUCUUUAAGGAGAGCCAAAAUCUUAAAACAAACGCGCUGUGCUUUUGAAAAUAUGUUUACAUUUUAAAAUAUCAUUUACAAGGCUGAAAAAU
Molecule: long non-coding RNA, 1045 nt
Filed under: Cairina moschata (Muscovy duck)
Lineage: Eukaryota; Metazoa; Chordata; Aves; Anseriformes; Anatidae
Description: domestica (muscovy Duck (domestic type)) lncRNA (ENSCMMG00000013945.1)
Source: RNAcentral